UGUCAUCAAAGUGGAGGUACUCAAUGGCUUGUUAGAAAUUGGAUGCAAAGAAAGAAAAAGAAAAAGACAGUUCAAUUUCAGAAGCCCAGAUAAAAGAAGUCUUAAAGACAGAGGAAGUGAUCGUCUGAGGCAAAUGCCACCAAGAGAUCAAACAGGACCACAGUGCAUUUCUUUCAGCAAUGACAGCGACAGGUGCCUGAACUCCUAGCCUGAUGCAUCUUUCCUGGACUUCUUGCAAAUGUAAAUGUACCAGUCCACGGUAGGUCCUACCCAGCACCCGUCGCCAGCAGAUCUGCACACUUAACCCGAGACCAGACCCAAUGCAUCCCACCCCUCGGCUCUCCACUUCGGACGCACACCCGGAGCAGACCCGCCAGCCCAGGCUUGGAACUGGAAGCACCCAAGGCCAGCAGCGACCGCAGACGCGGCCUUAAAACAAAAGAGGC
Molecule: long non-coding RNA, 446 nt
Organism: Nannospalax galili (Upper Galilee mountains blind mole rat)
Lineage: Eukaryota; Metazoa; Chordata; Mammalia; Rodentia; Spalacidae
Exons: 3
Source: RefSeq, a predicted model, not a curated record